GCCAUCUUCGAUAAACGAUAGAAUCCUCGAAAGCGUGUUAAAAUAUUUAGUGCAUAGAAUUGUUACAAACAUUAUUAUCCUUUCUUUAUUCUUUAUUAUUGUGUGAAUUAUAUGAAAUUCAAAGAUUUAUAGGAGACAGAAGUUGCAUUCAGAUAACACGAGCGCUAAUCGAUUAAAUGAAUUAUUUUUGUGCAUGAUAAACACCGAACGGUCUGGCCAUAGUGAGAUUCGCAGUAUAACCCACUAUAAGAAAACUAUAAUUCUGUGAGCGUAUUCAUUCGAAACGCUACGGAGAAAUUUUCUUGGUCCGAACAUCAACUAUAUGAAGAAUCCGCUUUUUAACAAAACUCGAUCAUUCUACCGGUAGCCGAAGUCAGAUCGGCGUCAACUUCGCAAACCCCAAGCGCAUGCAAUGACGAUUGCGGCCGACUGUGAACGCCUCUACCCGGCAGCACCGACUUCUCACAUUACAGUCACUCGUUGGCCGGCCUUUUUGAUCUACCGGCCGGUUUGUCUACGGUAAAGUUCAUCAGCGCCAUUAGUUUAAGCUAGUACCAUUCAUUAGACAAACAGUUCCUACUAUCUAAACCAGCUGGGAUGACCAUGAAAGUGACAUACGGCUGAAUGUGAUGCUCACUUCAAUGUUAGAUGGAUGUUGGAAAAAGGAAAAAGCAGAACCAGUUUCUGCACGGUUGGUAUUCUAAGUUUGCACUAGUUGUAGUGAUAGAAUGAUGAGCACAUUCGCAGCAAAAAGUUUUCAUAAUUUGUUUUCCUGAACUAUCUGCGUCAAUUUCACAGAGUCAUGCUCAACUUCGCGAAUCUGGAAAACUAUUUAAUUCCAAUAGCCGUGCAAAUGUAGAUUGUUGAUUUAGAAUGAUACCAUUGUAUAACUUGGCUUUUAACUGACAUCUUACCUAUAAGGCAUGAAAGUUACUGCAAUCAUCAAUCCACAAGGUUAAACAGGACUGUGGGAAUUCAACAUUGAUUUCUAUAUUUUUUUGAAUAACAAAAAAUAAAUAAUGUCUUGUUCAGUAAAGCGAAA
Molecule: long non-coding RNA, 1042 nt
Organism: Malaya genurostris
Lineage: Eukaryota; Metazoa; Arthropoda; Insecta; Diptera; Culicidae
Exons: 7
Source: RefSeq, a predicted model, not a curated record